RNAcentral lists this ribosomal RNA (467 nucleotides) under uncultured bacterium. RNAcentral's name for it is "partial 16S ribosomal RNA". It matches the Rfam family "Bacterial small subunit ribosomal RNA", at positions 28 to 507 of the family's 1533-position model. The record is from RNAcentral.
GACGAACGCUGGCGGCGUGCUUAAACCUGCAAGUUGAACGGAAAGGCCCUGCAUUUGUGGGGUGUUAGGGUGGCGACCGGGUGGGUAACACGUGAGUAACCUGCUCCUGACUUUGGGAUAACAUCAGGAAACAGGGGCUAAUACUGGAUAGGAGCUUCUGCUGCAUGGUGGGGGUUGGAAAGUUUCGGCGGUUGGGGAUGGACUUGCGGCUUAUCAGCUUGUUGGUGGGGUAGUGGCUUACCAAGGCUUUGACGGGUAGCCGGCCUGAGAGGGUGACCGGGCACAUGGGUACUGAGAUACGGCCCAGACUCCUACGGGAGGCAGCAGGGGGGAAUAUUGCACAAUGGGCGGAAGCCUGAUGCAGCAACGCCGCGUGCGGGAUGACGGCCUUCGGGUUGUAAACCGCUUUCGCCUGUGACGAAGCGUGAGUGACGGUAAUGGGUAAAGAAGCACCGGCUAACUACGUG